AAGCGUUCAAUAGCUCCAUUUGCAGCAGGAUGAUACACUGAUGUGCGAAUAUGCUUAGUGUCUCUCUUUUUCAGGAACGCAGCAAACUCUGGGGAAGUGAACUGAGGCCCAUUAUCACUGACCAGAGUGGUCGGGUUGCCGUGCCUACUGAAGACAGAGAUGGAGCAGAUGCCAAGCCGUAAGGUACCCUGCAGAACCUGAAGAGGCCUUCGUGUGUAAUAAAUGCAGUGAGGUCCCGGCUGUCUUCAUGAAGAGGUACCUGAUGAUCCACACACAUGCGGAUCCCCCCUGUUUUCUUUUGGACCACAACAAUCGGAGAAACCCAUGGAGAAGAGUCAAUCUUUUCAAUCACACCUGCAUGCAAAAGUCGUUCCAGUUCCGUAGAAACAGCAUCUCUCACAGAGAAAGGUAAGCGACGCAGUUUAUGUCUGA
Molecule: long non-coding RNA, 432 nt
Organism: Carassius gibelio (silver crucian carp)
Lineage: Eukaryota; Metazoa; Chordata; Actinopteri; Cypriniformes; Cyprinidae
Exons: 3
Source: RefSeq, a predicted model, not a curated record